This is a long non-coding RNA of Callithrix jacchus (white-tufted-ear marmoset), 1319 nucleotides long. RefSeq lists it as uncharacterized. NCBI's taxonomy places the organism in Eukaryota, Metazoa, Chordata, Mammalia, Primates, Cebidae. The record is from RefSeq and is a predicted model, not a curated record.
GUCCCACAUCUCAGCCAUUCAUUCCCUGGAGGGUGAGACCCUGGCCCCGCCCCCGCGGUCAGCCCCGCCCACCGAGUCCCGCCCACGCCCCGACCAACCCGAGGGAAUUUUGGCCUAAACUGAAAAUGAAACCAGUAGCCGAGAGCGAUCCGCAGUUUCACUCUGUCAGUUUGUGCGCUGGCCUUGACUACCAGUGUCUCCUCCUCCCAAUACUCCGGCCCCUCCUGCUCCACCCACGGUGCCCGCGGCUCCAUCCUCGGACUCGCGGCGUCGCUGUCGAACCGCACGAUCUGCGUGUCGUCCACGUAGCCCACUCCGAUGUACCUGUAUCGGGGCUCCCAGCGGCCGGGCGGGGACACGGUGGUGCUGAAAUACCUCAAGGAGUGGGAGCCUGGGGGCGAGAAGGGGCUGAGAUCCGCCCGACCUUCCUCCUGGCCUGGCCCCCUGGGUCCUGCAUCCCCUCCGGGCGGGCCUCUUGCUCCUCCCCGCAGAGGCCUUUUCCCUCCCUAGUACGCACUCACCCACCCAGGUCUCGGUCAGGGUCAGGGCCCCCAAGAGUAGCAGGAAGAGCGUUCGGGGCUCCAUGACCCCAACCUCCGUAUCUGGAGAGAAUCUGAGUCCCCGUGGGUGCGUGGGGACUUCAGAAUCAGGACCACGGCGACACUGAUUGGCUUCUAUAGAAACCCAACACCCAAUGGGAGUGAGAACUGGGUCCCCGUCGUGAGUAUCCUGGAAGAAGGACCCGACACAAGUUGGGAAAGAGAAACUCUGUGGAAAUGGGGAAUCCCCAAAUGCUGAGCCUCCCUACCCAGACUUGAGCCACUGAGAGCCGCGCCUGGGGCGCUGGGACUUCACCCUGAACCUCCUCCUCCUGGGCAGGGUGUGUCUCAGGGUCUCCUUGAGCCUUCGCCUCGAGGCUGAGAAACUAGGGAGAAACCCUUCCCCUGGAACCCAGUCUCUCUCCCUUCACUUUUCAUCCCGGAAUCCCCGUCCCUGGACUGAACUUUCUGCCUCCCUCUAAAGCUGGAUUCCCCUGGACUCUAUUGGAAGAAAACUCACUCCAGGAAGCUUGGCGCCAGAGAGUGAGCUUGGACUGGGAAUGGAGGUGUAGAGACAGUUUUCUUCUUCUUCUUCUUUAAAUGUGGAAAAGUUGUGCCUGAGCGCAUGAGAUAGAAAGGAGACCAGUUUCCUUUCUGUUAGCUGCAGUGAAUUGUAAAAUCUUUGUAACCUUUGAAUGAUCUGCAACGUUAUCUGUAAAAAUUGUUACUUUGGCCCCUUGAUACAUAAAUGUGUUUAAAUAAAUUACAACUGACAACUCA